Molecule: ribosomal RNA, 506 nt
Filed under: uncultured bacterium
Lineage: Bacteria
Description: partial 16S ribosomal RNA
Rfam family: Bacterial small subunit ribosomal RNA
Source: RNAcentral
AGUGAACGCUGGCGGUAGGCCUAACACAUGCAAGUCGAACGGCAGCACAGGAGAGCUUGCUCUCUGGGUGGCGAGUGGCGGACGGGUGAGGAAUACAUCGGAAUCUACUCUGUCGUGGGGGAGAACGUAGGGAAACUUACGCUAAUACCGCAUACGACCUACGGGCGAAAGCAGGGGACCUUCGGGCCUUGCGCGAUUGAAUGAGCCGAUGUCGGAUUAGCUAGUUGGCGGGGUAAAGGCCCACCAAGGCCACGAUCCGUAGCUGGUCUGAGAGGAUGAUCAGCCACACUGGAACUGAGACACGGUCCAGACUCCUACGGGAGGCAGCAGUGGGGAAUAUUGGACAAUGGGCGCAAGCCUGAUCCAGCCAUACCGCGUGGGUGAAGAAGGCCUUCGGGUUGUAAAGCCCUUUUGUUGGGAAAGAAAUCCAGCUGGCUAAUACCCGGUUGGGAUGACGGUACCCAAAGAAUAAGCACCGGCUAACUUCGUGCCAGCCGCCGCGGUAA